AUUGAACGCUGGCGGCAUGCCUUACACAUGCAAGUCGAACGGCAGCACGGGAGCAAUCCUGGUGGCGAGUGGCGAACGGGUGAGUAAUGUAUCGGAACGUACCUUUCAGUGGGGGAUAACGUAGCGAAAGUUACGCUAAUACCGCAUAUUCUGUGAGCAGGAAAGCAGGAGAUCGCAAGACCUUGCGCUGAUUGAGCGGCCGAUAUCAGAUUAGCUAGUUGGUGAGGUAAAGGCUCACCAAGGCGACGAUCUGUAGCGGGUCUGAGAGGAUGAUCCGCCACACUGGAACUGAGACACGGUCCAGACUCCUACGGGAGGCAGCAGUGGGGAAUUUUGGACAAUGGGCGCAAGCCUGAUCCAGCCAUGCCGCGUGAGUGAAGAAGGCCUCGGUUG
Molecule: ribosomal RNA, 393 nt
Filed under: uncultured bacterium
Lineage: Bacteria
Description: bacterial SSU rRNA
Rfam family: Bacterial small subunit ribosomal RNA
Source: RNAcentral